GAUGAACGCUGGCGGCGUGCCUAAUACAUGCAAGUCGAGCGAACGGACGCGAAGCUUUCUUUUCUGAUGUUAGCGGCGGACGGGUGAGUAACACGUGGAUAACCUACCUAUAAGACUGGGAUAACUUCGGGAAACCGGAGCUACUACCGGAUAAUAUUUUGAACCGCAUGGUUCAAAAGUGAAAGACGGUCUUGCUGUCACUUAUAGAUGGAUCCGCGCUGCAUUAGCUAGUUGGUAAGGUAACGGCUUACCAAGGCAACGAUGCAUAGCCGACCUGAGAGGGUGAUCGGCCACACUAGAACGGAGACACGGUCCAGACUCCUACGGGAGGCAGCAGUAGGGAAUCUUCCGCAAUGGGCGAAAGCCUGACGGAGCAACGCCGCGUGAGUGAUGAAGGUCUUCGGAUCGUAAAACUCUGUUAUUAGGGAAGAAGAUAUGUGUAAGUAACUGUGCACAUCUUGACGGUACCUAAUCAGAAAGCCACGGCUAACUACGUG
This 497-nucleotide ribosomal RNA is filed under the name uncultured bacterium. Its description in RNAcentral is "partial 16S ribosomal RNA". It matches the Rfam family "Bacterial small subunit ribosomal RNA", at positions 28 to 507 of the family's 1533-position model. The record is from RNAcentral.